RNAcentral lists this ribosomal RNA (465 nucleotides) under Vreelandella stevensii. RNAcentral's name for it is "partial 16S ribosomal RNA". It matches the Rfam family "Bacterial small subunit ribosomal RNA", at positions 338 to 795 of the family's 1533-position model. The record is from RNAcentral. Lineage: Bacteria; Pseudomonadati; Pseudomonadota; Gammaproteobacteria; Oceanospirillales; Halomonadaceae.
CCUACGGGCGGCAGCAGUGGGGAAUAUUGGACAAUGGGGGCAACCCUGAUCCAGCCAUGCCGCGUGUGUGAAGAAGGCCCUCGGGUUGGAAAGCACUUUCAGUGAGGAAGAACGCCUGGUGGUUAAUACCCAUCAGGAAAGACAUCACUCACAGAAGAAGCACCGGCUAACUCCGUGCCAGCAGCCGCGGUAAUACGGAGGGUGCGAGCGUUAAUCGGAAUUACUGGGCGUAAAGCGCGCGUAGGUGGCUUGAUAAGCCGGUUGUGAAAGCCCCGGGCUCAACCUGGGAACGGCAUCCGGAACUGUCAAGCUAGAGUGCAGGAGAGGAAGGUAGAAUUCCCGGUGUAGCGGUGAAAUGCGUAGAGAUCGGGAGGAAUACCAGUGGCGAAGGCGGCCUUCUGGACUGACACUGACACUGAGGUGCGAAAGCGUGGGUAGCAAACAGGAUUAGAUACCCGAGUAGUC